CCUGAAUAAGGGAGAUGUAAACACAGAUUUUAGUACCACUCCUAACAUGGCCACCUUUCAGCUCAGAGGGAGACGCACCCCAUACAAGUUGGAAGCGGUCCCCGGAAUGCGCCUGGGUGGAGCAGCACCCCACCCAGUGCCCAUUCACACCAAAUCAUCAGUCCUCCAAUUUCAAAACUUGGCAUUAGAAAAAAUUUUUUAAAAGUUUAUUUAUUUUGAGAGAGAGACAGAGUGAGCAGGGGAGGAGCAGAGACAGAGGGGGAGAGAGAAUUCCAAAGGCUCUGUGCCCAACCUGGGGCUCAAACUCAUGAACCAUGAGCUCAUGACCUGAACCGAAAGCAAGAGUCAGAUGCUUAACUGAGCCACCCAGGUGUCCCUCCCAGCACUUUUCAAACCACAGAUCCCUUUUAUUUUCUGUCUAAUCCCUACUGAGAACUCAUGAAUCAAAAUUUUAAAAAUAUGCUUUUCUACAUAACAGUUUUUGGUCUAAAAAAGUAGCGGUAUUUAUAAUUUGCAGCUGAAUACAUAUUCAUGUCCAUGGAAUGCAAAUGUCCAUGGAAGCAAACUUCUGUGGUGGCUGUUUCUGGGUGUGGGUUUGAAUGAUUGUCCAUUUUCUUCCACAUGGUAUUUGGCCCUUUCCAAAUUUUUCGGUUAAUACCCAAACUUAUUCUAGGCAGGGGGAGGAACAUGAGGUUUGAAGCUUUCACUGAAUAUCCGAACUGUACCGCAUGACUCAUUUCUUUGAACAUUAAGCCAUACUUUCCAGUAUAACAGAAAAUAGGCGUAUGAACUCCAUGACCCUUCUGGUAAGCCACUUUCAGGACAAAAAAAACAAUGGUCCAGAACAAUUAUAAACUUCAUAAUAGAGACCCAAAGGAACCAUCUGUCCUGAUCCCAGGGAAAGAAGAACACACAGAGCCCCUGGCCCUCUUACCUUUCCUUUCAAGGUGUUUAAGGUCUGACAUCCUGGUUUUGCUCUCUAGCUUUAAAAUGCAACCCCCACUCACCUGAGUGCUGAGGUUCAAAAGAAGAGAAGGCCUACAGUCUUUUUCCCGUCAGCUCCACUAUCAAAGAGUUGAGUAUUUAUUACUGUCUGCACCGAAAAGGAGGGUGGUGUAACUCUUCAAAAUGGCCCGAAUGGGGACACGUGGUCAAUAGUGAAAAUCCUAUCCGAAAAUCUUUCAUUCAGGUGCUGUUUAUUCUGACCAAAAGGAGAUCUAAGGGGGGUGUGUUUAUUUGCUCUCCUCUGACAGAUACUUGAAUUUCACAGAAGAAAAUGACACAGGGGACUCUAAUCAGUUUGCCAGCAGUUGUUUUGUGGUAUCGAUAUAAACAUUUUCUCCAGCCAAACUAGGUGCUGAACAAUUACAGUCUCCUCAAGAGCCCAAGGUCAGUGUUUCUCAGGGCUGAGUGUGCUCCUAAAUGGAGACUUCACCAGGGUGUUGACUGAGGGUCAGGAAAACCUAUCAGGAUCUUCCGUCUGAGGACGACAAGGCAUCUUUGAGAUUUUGGAAACAGAAAAUUUCUGUUGGCUGCAGAUGUUGUGCAUGUGCAGAAAAGAGCCCUCAGUAACCCUAAGGCAGUCCUGGUGCUCUGGAGCCCAUGAGUUACGCAUGCUGGGAGACGCCGGGCUCAACUCACCCAUCCCUGCACCCCAACCCCCGACCUGGUGCUCACCACCCAGCAAUGCAAACUAACCGUCUGGACAGUGGAAACCACGAAUGAUUCUUCAGUGUCCAGGUCACUAAACACAGGUGUUAUGAAUAGAUGUCUUUUCAUGGUAUGAAAUUUUCCUGGCUAUAUUUUAAUUAAAUUUCCAUUAAGGAAUCCAUACGAUUUAUUUUAUGAAUUUAAAAAAUUUUUAAGUUAUUCAUCUUGAGAGAGAGAGACCUAGCAUGAGUGGGGGAGGGGCAGAGAGAGAGUGAGAAAGAAUCCUAAGCAGGCUCCGUGCUGUCAGCACAGAGCCCGGCGUAAUGCUCUAAGUCAUGAAACCACAAGAUAGGACCUAAGCCCAAACCAGAGUUGGACGCUUAACUGAUUGAGCCAUGCAGGUGCCCCUGAGUACAUAUUUUUUAAAUGGAUGUUUUUAUUUUUUUAACAGAAAAGGAAAAGCCCAGCUUCCUACUUUCAGGCAGAGACAGUGUUAUCUCCAUCUAAAUAUGUGGUGUCCCAGUGUCCCAGAGAAGGCCAUGCCAUGGUCAUGGUCUUGCCUGCAAAGCAGCUGUUAAGCAGAGCCUAGGAAGCAGAACUGAAGUUUCCAUCCCUCGGUACUCAACUUUACGAUGAGCCAAGACACUGGCUUAUUCAGGAGAAACAUUCACUCUGGGCUUAGAAUCCUGAAGCUAACUAAAUUUUAAUAAAACUCAAUUAAAAAAAAACAAA
This is a long non-coding RNA of Neofelis nebulosa (Clouded leopard), 2382 nucleotides long. RefSeq lists it as uncharacterized. NCBI's taxonomy places the organism in Eukaryota, Metazoa, Chordata, Mammalia, Carnivora, Felidae. The transcript has 2 exons. The record is from RefSeq and is a predicted model, not a curated record.